GGCGGCGGGGGUGCAGCGAACGCAGGUUCACCCCUCUCCUUUUUCCUUCGCCCUCUCCCUCUGGACUCUGCGCUGAAGCCACAGUGAGGCUCCCCCCUCUUUCUGGUCCCCAGUCGGACUCAGCGAGCCAGGGCUCCGGGCUUUGCGCCGGUGCUGAGGUCAGAGAGGGGAGCCGCGGCCCGCAGGCCUGGACAGCACCCGGGUAAGCAGGGCGCAGCCGCAAUGGCUCGCUCCUAGCUGGGAACCCACGACCCGCGAAGCUGGAGAGCGCACUCGCCGGCCGCUGAGCCCCAGACCCGCCGCAGUCUCCAAACGCUGUCUGUGAGGAGAAGUGAAUCCUCUGAAAGGGUAAUUGUCAGCUGAUGGUGUUUCCCAUUAUGCCCGAUCUUGGCCUAAAUGGUGUGCGGCAGCGGGGCUGAGAGCGAGGGCUGAAAUCAACGCGCGAACUCGCGCUCUGAAGGCAAGAAAAGACAGCACCGCUCGCGUCCUGAUCUAGAGAAGCUGAGGAAGAAACGGUAAUUCCCGCAUAGCCGAGGAGCCCGGCCUAGGAAGCUUCCAUCCCAUUCUCAGAGGGAGGUUCAGCCACCGCACCUGUAGCCCAAGGCACUGGACCCCAGGCACGCCAUUUCUGGAGCUCUCUCGGGCCUCUCUAGCUGAAGGAAAGCGGGUAGUCUAGGUUCAGUCGGAGGCAUCCCCUCCAGGAUGUCAUUGCUCGGCUGAAACUCAGCCAGCAGCCGCCCUCCUGCCAGGCCAGGGCACCGCAGGACGCCCGGGCCUCCGGAGUCCGGGUGUGGCGCUUUCAUUCUCUCCUUCCCACUCAGCAUCUAAACAGCCCGGUCUGCAGUUUCCCAGGGUCUUCCGGGGACGUGCCUGCCUCUCCAGGGCCUGCCCUACCCCUGCUGAAAGUUAAGCCCUUCGAUGCGAUCACGAAGAAAGAGGCGACCCUCCCUCUGGCCCGCGAGUGGCCUCCCAGGGGCCCCUCCGAGAAUGCCAUCUCCCGCGCAGACCCGGCGCUCUGCGCUGCUGCGAAAGCACCCACCUGCCUCUUCGGGACAGAACUGCGCCGUGGCGGCGGGGACAGCCUGAGGGCAGCCGCCCUUACCCAUGAGGGCCAAUGCGGGGCGCAGCCUCCAAACCCGGGGUCUCACCUCUCCCAGAGGAAGGGGUGGACACGCCAGAGCCUGUCCUCGACCCCUUAAGAAGAAGAGAGUGGCAGCAAGGAGUCCCUCUAGUAAUCUCGAAGGGGCUUACACUGGCUCCCCGCGCCUCCUCCCCAAUCGGUCAAGCUGGGAACCCCGGAGGCUGCGCCUAGCGUUUCGUUAGCGUCUCUCCGCCUUCCUGAGGCUUUAGGCUCCUGCGCGGCUUUAUAUUCCCUUUCUCCCCGCCCGACGUGCCUGCACCCCGGACCCUGCCCGGCACGGCACCGGGCUGGGGUCCGCGGGCUGGGGAAGAGAAGGGGGGCUUUGGGUAGCUCGACCUGGCCGCCACAUCCCCGCCUGCAGGGAAACCCUCUCAAAGUCCCGGCGCGAGGGAUUGGGGGCCGGGAGGAGACCCAGCGGGGCCAGGAGUCUCGGGGUCCCUGUGG
Molecule: long non-coding RNA, 1585 nt
Filed under: Equus asinus (donkey)
Lineage: Eukaryota; Metazoa; Chordata; Mammalia; Perissodactyla; Equidae
Description: lncRNA (ENSEASG00005027411.1)
Source: RNAcentral